UACGUAGGGGGCAAGCGUUGUCCGGAAUCAUUGGGCGUAAAGAGCGUGUAGGCGGCUUGGUAAGUCCGCUGUGAAAGUCCAGGGCUCAACCCUGGAAUGCCGGUGGAAACUGUCAAGCUUGAGUCCGGAAGAGGCGAGUGGAAUUCCUGGUGUAGCGGUGAAAUGCGCAGAUAUCAGGAGGAACACCGGUGGCGAAGGCGGGUCUCUGGGCCGAUACUGACGCUGAGGCACGAAGGCCAGGGGAGCAAACGGG
Molecule: ribosomal RNA, 253 nt
Filed under: uncultured bacterium
Lineage: Bacteria
Description: partial 16S ribosomal RNA
Rfam family: Bacterial small subunit ribosomal RNA
Source: RNAcentral